Long non-coding RNA from Canis lupus familiaris (dog), 1036 nucleotides. RefSeq lists it as uncharacterized. NCBI's taxonomy places the organism in Eukaryota, Metazoa, Chordata, Mammalia, Carnivora, Canidae. The transcript has 5 exons. The record is from RefSeq and is a predicted model, not a curated record.
UUUUCUGGAAAAAAAAUGCAAACAUGUGUUUUAAGGUAAAUAUUAUGGAGAAUAAUAUUUUAAAUGCUAUAGUUACAAUUAAUAUUUGUAUAAAAAUGUAGGAAGCUAACAUUCAAAAUACAGACAUGUGUGAAUUAGCAACCAGCAGGAGUAACUUGUCCUGCUUAAAAUUUUAAAUGACGCAUAUUUAUGUUUUAUACAGGUGCACCUAUCUACUUGGAGUCAACAUGCAAUAGAUAUUUUUGGAAAUAAUUCACUUUCCAGCUUUUUUUCUUUCCAUUAAAAAAAAGAAGAAGAAGAAGAAGAAGAACCUUCAUCUCAGAGUUUGUUUAGUGAACUCUCUGCUGCUGCAACAAGAUUAGAUGUAUUAUAUUUGGAUUUGCAUACAACUUUUCAAAAACAUGGCUGUUGCAGAGAGGAUGAUCCAGGCAUACUACAGGUCCCUAGAUAUAACCAGCAGUUCUUCUGGUUUCUUCUGGCAAAACCACCUAUACUCCUUUGGGAAAAAGAAGCAAACAUUUAAUGUGGUUUCUUGAGGCUUGUCCAUCUCGAUGUCUUGUCAAAAACAAGUAUAUGGUCUAAGCAGGUCAUGGGAUUGGAUUCAAGAUUUUUUCUUCGUUGAGGGAGAUGACACAAAUCACUUUUUCUUCCCCAAAGGAGAAUAAAGUGGACUUUAAUAAAGAUGGAAACAUAUGCAACCCUACAUCUGGGCAAAAGUUUUUUUUUUAUAUCUCUCUUCACCCUAAGAAGAAAGGAAUCAUUGUACAUUCAGAGCUCUGGUUACACAACCAGACUGCAAUCAAGGAGCCAAUCGGUGUAUUCAAAAGAAGAAUCAUCAUCAAUAUGUUUCUUUGGCAUUAUCUUGAGAAUGAAUUCAGCACUCUCCUCUGGACUUAACUCUAACAAAGCCUUCACUACAACAAAAAACACUUUCUUGGGAUGCCUGGGUGGCUCAGCAGUUAAGCGUCUGCCUUGGGCCCAUGCUGUGAUCCUGGAGUCCCGGGAUGGAGUCCCACAUCAGGAUCCCUGCAUGGAG